This 253-nucleotide ribosomal RNA is filed under the name uncultured bacterium. RNAcentral describes it as "partial 16S ribosomal RNA". It matches the Rfam family "Bacterial small subunit ribosomal RNA", at positions 524 to 776 of the family's 1533-position model. The record is from RNAcentral.
UACGUAGGGGGCAGGCGUUGUCCGGAUUUAUUGGGCGUAAAGAGCGUGUAGGCGGCUGGGUAGGUCCGUUGUGAAAACUUGAGGCUCAACCUCGAGACGCCGAUGGAAACCCUCCAGCUAGAGUCCGGAAGAGGAGAGUGGAAUUCCUGGUGUAGCGGUGAAAUGCGCAGAUAUCAGGAAGAACACCCGUGGCUAAGGCGGCUCUCUAGUACGGUACUGACGCUGAGACGCGAAAGCGUGGGGAGCGAACAGG